RNAcentral lists this transfer RNA (85 nucleotides) under Aliivibrio fischeri. RNAcentral's name for it is "tRNA-Leu". It matches the Rfam family "tRNA". Rfam says of the family: Transfer RNA (tRNA) molecules are approximately 80 nucleotides in length. Their secondary structure includes four short double-helical elements and three loops (D, anti-codon, and T loops). RNAcentral also lists the same sequence under 47 other names. Lineage: Bacteria; Pseudomonadati; Pseudomonadota; Gammaproteobacteria; Vibrionales; Vibrionaceae. The record is from RNAcentral.
GCGGACGUGGCGGAAUUGGUAGACGCACCAGAUUUAGGUUCUGGCGCCGCAAGGUGUGAGAGUUCAAGUCUCUCCGUCCGCACCA